RNAcentral lists this ribosomal RNA (253 nucleotides) under uncultured archaeon. RNAcentral describes it as "partial 16S ribosomal RNA". It matches the Rfam family "Archaeal small subunit ribosomal RNA", at positions 474 to 727 of the family's 1478-position model. The record is from RNAcentral.
UACCAGCUCCGCGAGUGGUCGGGACGAUUAUUGGGCCUAAAGCGUCCGUAGCCGGCCUAACAAGUCUCUGGUUAAAUCUCAAGGCUUAACCUUGAGAUCGCUGGAGAUACUGUUAGGCUAGGGGGCGGGAGAGGUUGAGGGUACUUCGCGGGUAGGGGCGAAAUCCUAUAAUCCGCGAAGGACCACCAGUGGCGAAGGCGCUCAACUGGAACGCGCCCGACGGUGAGGGACGAAAGCUAGGGGAGCAAAGGGG